RNAcentral lists this transfer RNA (66 nucleotides) under uncultured Paraprevotella sp. It matches the Rfam family "tRNA". Rfam says of the family: Transfer RNA (tRNA) molecules are approximately 80 nucleotides in length. Their secondary structure includes four short double-helical elements and three loops (D, anti-codon, and T loops). The record is from RNAcentral. Lineage: Bacteria; Pseudomonadati; Bacteroidota; Bacteroidia; Bacteroidales; Prevotellaceae.
AUAAUAGCUCAGUUGGUAGAGCAUCGGCUUCCCAAGCCGAGGGUCGCGAGUUCGAGUCUCGUUUAU